GCAGCCAUUGCAGGAGAGACUGUUAGCACAGCGCCGAAGGGGAAUCGCCCCAGAAACUCUCAGGCAAAAGAACUGUGAUGGCGUU
RNAcentral lists this non-coding RNA (85 nucleotides) under Janthinobacterium sp. RNAcentral's name for it is "Glycine sequence". It matches the Rfam family "Glycine riboswitch aptamer". From Rfam's summary of the family: This family represents the bacterial glycine riboswitch. Glycine riboswitches usually consist of two metabolite-binding aptamers domains with similar structures in tandem. Lineage: Bacteria; Pseudomonadati; Pseudomonadota; Betaproteobacteria; Burkholderiales; Oxalobacteraceae. The record is from RNAcentral.